RNAcentral lists this ribosomal RNA (465 nucleotides) under uncultured bacterium. RNAcentral's name for it is "partial 16S ribosomal RNA". It matches the Rfam family "Bacterial small subunit ribosomal RNA", at positions 339 to 795 of the family's 1533-position model. The record is from RNAcentral.
CUACGGGACGCUGCAGUGAGGAAUUUUGCGCAAUGGGGGAAACCCUGACGCAGCAACGCCGCGUGAGUGAAGAAGGCCUUUGGGUCGUAAAGCUCUGUCAACAGGGAAGAAGUUACAAUUGUUUAAUAGAUGAUUGUAUUGACGGUACCUGUGGAGGAAGCGCCGGCUAACUCCGUGCCAGCAGCCGCGGUAACACGGGGGGCGCAAGCGUUAUUCGGAAUUAUUGGGCGUAAAGGGCGCGCAGGCGGUCUUGUCCGUCAGGUGUGAAAGCACGGGGCUCAACCCCGGAAGUGCACUUGAAACAGCAAGACUUGAAUACGGGAGAGGAAAGCGGAAUUCCUGGUGUAGAGGUGAAAUUCGUAGAUAUCAGGAGGAACACCGAUGGCGAAGGCAGCUUUCUGGACCGAUAUUGACGCUGAGGCGCGAAGGCGCGGGGAGCGAACGGGAUUAGAUACCCGAGUAGUC